This 73-nucleotide transfer RNA is filed under the name Schistosoma margrebowiei. It matches the Rfam family "tRNA". From Rfam's summary of the family: Transfer RNA (tRNA) molecules are approximately 80 nucleotides in length. Their secondary structure includes four short double-helical elements and three loops (D, anti-codon, and T loops). Further hydrogen bonds mediate the characteristic L-shaped molecular structure. tRNAs have two regions of fundamental functional importance: the anti-codon, which is responsible for specific mRNA codon recognition, and the 3' end, to which the tRNAs corresponding amino acid is attached (by aminoacyl-tRNA synthetases). tRNAs cope with the degeneracy of the genetic code in two manners: having more than one tRNA (with a specific anti-codon) for a particular amino acid; and 'wobble' base-pairing, i.e. permitting non-standard base-pairing at the 3rd anti-codon position. The record is from Rfam by way of RNAcentral. Lineage: Eukaryota; Metazoa; Platyhelminthes; Trematoda; Strigeidida; Schistosomatidae.
AGCCCUGUGGCCUAAUGGAUAAGGCAUCUGAUUUCGGAUCAGAUGAUUGCGGGUCCGAGUCCGGUUGGGGUAG